UGGGGAAUUUUGGACAAUGGGCGAAAGCCUGAUCCAGCAAUGCCGCGUGUGUGAAGAAGGCCUUCGGGUUGUAAAGCACUUUUGUCCGGAAAGAAAUCCUUGGCUCUAAUACAGUCGGGGGAUGACGGUACCGGAAGAAUAAGCACCGGCUAACUACGUGCCAGCAGCCGCGGUAAUACGUAGGGUGCAAGCGUUAAUCGGAAUUACUGGGCGUAAAGCGUGCGCAGGCGGUUUGCUAAGACCGAUGUGAAAUCCCCGGGCUCAACCUGGGAACUGCAUUGGUGACUGGCAGGCUAGAGUAUGGCAGAGGGGGGUAGAAUUCCACGUGUAGCAGUGAAAUGCGUAGAGAUGUGGAGGAAUACCGAUGGCGAAGGCAGCCCCCUGGGCCAAUACUGACGCUCAUGCACGAAAGCGUGGGGAGCAAACAGGAUUAGAUACCCUGGUAGUCCACGCCCUAAACGAUGUCAACUAGUUGUUGGGGAUUCAUUUCCUUAGUAACGUAGCUAACGCGUGAAGUUGACCGCCUGGGGAGUAC
RNAcentral lists this ribosomal RNA (535 nucleotides) under uncultured bacterium. RNAcentral describes it as "partial 16S ribosomal RNA". It matches the Rfam family "Bacterial small subunit ribosomal RNA", at positions 355 to 883 of the family's 1533-position model. The record is from RNAcentral.